Non-coding RNA from Rattus norvegicus (Norway rat), 281 nucleotides. NCBI's taxonomy places the organism in Eukaryota, Metazoa, Chordata, Mammalia, Rodentia, Muridae. The record is from RefSeq and is a predicted model, not a curated record.
UCCUGUCCUUACAGGGAAUGCCUUUGCUGUUGGUUGGAGAGUAUUUGGAUUUCUGGGCUCGUGAGCCACUGCAUAUGGUUCUUCAUGAAUUGUUGAGUCUGAACAUAGAAGAACUUUCCUUGGAGCUCCACCAUAACCUGACCCACUAUCUAUCUGGGUACAUCUGUCUGUAGCUAUCAUUCCAGAGACAAUAGUCUGCCUUAAGGAGGGUGAAUGCUGCACUAAAGCUACUAUGUUUUUAUGCACAGGAGGUAGAGGCAAUAAUGAUUUUGUUAAAGCAA